GACUGCGCGGAGGCGACUACAGACAUGUCAGGGGUACGGGGCCUGUCGCGGUUGCCAAGCGCUCGGCGCUUGGCGCUGGCCAAGGCGUGGCCAACAGUGUUGCAAACAGGAACCCGAGGUGUUCACUUCACUGUUGAAGGAACGAGAGGGCAUCUGCUGAAGUUUCAGAUUCCAUUUCUGCUCAGUAGUGGAUCAUGAAUUUGAUGCAGUGAUGGUAGGCGCUAGAAGGGCAGGCUUGCGAGCUGCAUUUGGCCUUUCCGAGGCAGAGUUUGAUACAGCAUGUGUUACCAAGCUGUUUCCUACCAGGUCACACACUGUUGCAGCGCAGGUAGAAAAUUAUGGCAUGCCGUUUAGCAGAACUGAAGAUGGGAAGAUUUAUCAGCGUGCAUUUGGCAGACAGAGCCUCAAGUUUGGAAAGGGCGGGCAGGCCCAUCGGUGCUGCUGUGUGGCUGAUCGGACCGGCCACUCAAUAUUGCACACCUCAUAUGGGAGGGCACAUAUGGUGCUGGUUGUCUCAUUACGGAAGGAUGUUGUGGAGAGGGAGGCAUUCUCAUUAACAGUCAAGGUGAAAGGUUUAUGGAGCGAUACGCCCCCAUCGCGAAGGACCUGGCGUCUAGAGAUGUGGUGUCUCGGUGGAUGACUCUGGAGAUCCGCGAAGGAAGGUGCGUGUGGUUUACCACCAGCAUUGUCUGAGCGGGCACACGGGCCGGGGUUGCUUCUGUGAGUUUCAGCUCCACUCGCCCUCACCUUCGUGUGCAGGCACAUGUGCACAGCCACCUCUCUCAGCUGCCGGCAGGCGUCUGUUAGUCUGUGAUAUUUUCCUAAAGACCUACAUUUUGAAAAUUUUAGCCAGUUUCUUUCUCAAAUCUGUGGAACAGAGUUUCUCUUAGUGUGUGUGAGUAUGUGAUGGAGUAUGGGAGAGAGAGACACACACCCAACCUGAAGUCGGUGUGUGAGCCUUAGGUGUUGUGUCUGAUACCCACAGAUGUUUUUCGACAGCUUUCAAAGUGUGUGGGUUAUUUGCCUUUCAGAAAAACAAUUUGCAGCUCUUUCAUUGCCUGACCCUAUUCUUUAAUGUAACGACACUUGCUAAAUAUCUGCUGGUAUGGCCUUUAGAGGUUUUACGUUUUUAUAUUAAAAAAAAAAAA
Molecule: long non-coding RNA, 1148 nt
Filed under: Pan troglodytes (chimpanzee)
Lineage: Eukaryota; Metazoa; Chordata; Mammalia; Primates; Hominidae
Description: lincRNA
Source: RNAcentral